RNAcentral lists this ribosomal RNA (253 nucleotides) under uncultured bacterium. RNAcentral describes it as "partial 16S ribosomal RNA". It matches the Rfam family "Bacterial small subunit ribosomal RNA", at positions 524 to 776 of the family's 1533-position model. The record is from RNAcentral.
UACGUAGGUGGCAAGCGUUGUCCGGAUUUAUUGGGUUUAAAGGGUGCGUAGGUGGCCCUGUAAGUCAGUGGUGAAAUAUCUCAGCUUAACUGAGAGGGUGCCAUUGAUACUGCAGGGCUUGAGUACAGAUGAGGUAGGCGGAAUUGACGGUGUAGCGGUGAAAUGCAUAGAUAUCGUCAGGAACACCAAUAGCGAAGGCAGCUUACCGGGCUGUAACUGACGCUGAGGCGCGAAAGUGUGGGGAGCAAACAGG